Molecule: ribosomal RNA, 206 nt
Filed under: uncultured bacterium
Lineage: Bacteria
Description: partial 16S ribosomal RNA
Rfam family: Bacterial small subunit ribosomal RNA
Source: RNAcentral
CACGUAGGCGGAUUGGAAAGUUGGGGUGAAAUCCCGGGGCUCAACCCCGGAACUGCCUUCAAAACUCCCAGUCUUGAGUUCGAGAGAGGUGAGUGGAAUUCCGAGUGUAGAGGUGAAAUUCGUAGAUAUUCGGAGGAACACCAGUGGCGAAGGCGGCUCACUGGCUCGAUACUGACGCUGAGGUGCGAAAGCGUGGGGAGCAAACA